This 94-nucleotide transfer RNA is filed under the name Hypsizygus marmoreus. It matches the Rfam family "tRNA". From Rfam's summary of the family: Transfer RNA (tRNA) molecules are approximately 80 nucleotides in length. Their secondary structure includes four short double-helical elements and three loops (D, anti-codon, and T loops). The record is from Rfam by way of RNAcentral. Lineage: Eukaryota; Fungi; Basidiomycota; Agaricomycetes; Agaricales; Lyophyllaceae.
GCCCGCUUAGCUCAGUGGUAGAGCGCGCCACUCGUAGUUCCUCGGUUAUCGAGUUGCAAUGGUGAGGUCGAUUGUUCAAUCCAGUCAGUGGGCA